This 253-nucleotide ribosomal RNA is filed under the name uncultured bacterium. Its description in RNAcentral is "partial 16S ribosomal RNA". It matches the Rfam family "Bacterial small subunit ribosomal RNA", at positions 524 to 776 of the family's 1533-position model. The record is from RNAcentral.
UACGUAGGGGGCAAGCGUUAUCCGGAUUCACUGGGUGUAAAGGGAGCGUAGACGGCGACGCAAGUCUGGAGUGAAAGCCCGGGGCCCAACCCCGGGACUGCUCUGGAAACUGCGGCGCUGGAGUACGGGAGGGGCAGGCGGAAUUCCUGGUGUAGCGGUGAAAUGCGUAGAUAUCAGGAGGAACACCGGCGGCGAAGGCGGCCUGCUGGACCGUGACUGACGUUGAGGCUCGAGAGCGUUGGGAGCAAACAGG